This 906-nucleotide ribosomal RNA is filed under the name Penicillium sp. DV-2018n. RNAcentral describes it as "LSU rRNA". It matches the Rfam family "Eukaryotic large subunit ribosomal RNA", at positions 38 to 962 of the family's 3401-position model. The record is from RNAcentral. Lineage: Eukaryota; Fungi; Ascomycota; Eurotiomycetes; Eurotiales; Aspergillaceae.
GCAUAUCAAUAAGCGGAGGAAAAGAAACCACCCGGGAUUGCCCUAGUAACGGCGAGUGAAGCGGCAAGAGCUCAAAUUUGAAAGCUGGCUCCUUCGGGGUCCGCAUUGUAAUUUGCAGAGGAUGCUUCGGGAGCGGUCCCCCAUCUAAGUGCCCUGGAACGGGCCGUCAUAGAGGGUGAGAAUCCCGUCUGGGAUGGGGUGCCCGCGCCCGUGUGAAGCUCCUUCGACGAGUCGAGUUGUUUGGGAAUGCAGCUCUAAUUGGGUGGUAAAUUUCAUCUAAAGCUAAAUAUUGGCCGGAGACCGAUAGCGCACAAGUAGAGUGAUCGAAAGAUGAAAAGCACUUUGAAAAGAGAGUUAAACAGCACGUGAAAUUGUUGAAAGGGAAGCGCUUGCGAUCAGACUCGCCCGCGGGGUUCAGCCGGCAUUCGUGCCGGUGUACUUCCCCGCGGGCGGGCCAGCGUCGGUUUGGGCGGCCGGUCAAAGGCCCCUGGAAUGUAACGCCUCUCGGGGCGUCUUAUAGCCAGGGGUGCCAUGCGGCCUGCCCGGACCGAGGAACGCGCUUCGGCUCGGACGCUGGCAUAAUGGUCGUAAGCGACCCGUCUUGAAACACGGACCAAGGAGUCUAACAUCUACGCGAGUGUUCGGGUGUCAAACCCGUGCGCGCAGUGAAAGCGAACGGAGGUGGGAACCCUUUGGGUGCACCAUCGACCGAUCCUGAUGUCUUCGGAUGGAUUUGAGUAAGAGCGUAGCUGUUGGGACCCGAAAGAUGGUGAACUAUGCCUGAAUAGGGCGAAGCCAGAGGAAACUCUGGUGGAGGCUCGCAGCGGUUCUGACGUGCAAAUCGAUCGUCAAAUUUGGGUAUAGGGGCGAAAGACUAAUCGAACCAUCUAGUAGCUGGUUCCUGCC